Molecule: ribosomal RNA, 925 nt
Filed under: uncultured bacterium
Lineage: Bacteria
Description: bacterial SSU rRNA
Rfam family: Bacterial small subunit ribosomal RNA
Source: RNAcentral
AGAGUUUGAUCAUGGCUCAGGAUGAACGCUAGCGGCAGGCCUAACACAUGCAAGUCGAGGGGCAGCACGGGUGGCAACACCUGGUGGCGACCGGCGCACGGGUGCGUAACGCGUAUGAAACCUGCCCCCCGCUGGGGGAUAGCCCGUCGAAAGGCGGAUUAAUACCCCAUGGCUUCCCGGGACCGCAUGGUCCUGGGAGUAAAGCUUCGGCGGCGGGGGAUGGUCAUGCGUGCCAUUAGCUGGUUGGCGGGGUAACGGCCCACCAAGGCGAUGAUGGCUAGGGGGUCUGAGAGGAUAAUCCCCCACACUGGUACUGAGACACGGACCAGACUCCUACGGGAGGCAGCAGUGAGGAAUAUUGGUCAAUGGGCGAAAGCCUGAACCAGCCAUGCCGCGUGCAGGAAGACGGCCCUAUGGGUUGUAAACUGCUUUUGCGCAGGAAGAAUAACCCCCUCGUGAGGGGGGACGACGGUACUGCGCGAAUAAGGAUCGGCUAACUCCGUGCCAGCAGCCGCGGUAAUACGGAGGAUCCGAGCGUUAUCCGGAUUUACUGGGUUUAAAGGGUGCGUAGGCUGGCGCUUAAGUCAGCGGUGAAAGGCAGCGGCUCAACCGUUGGAUUGCCGUUGAAACUGGGCGCCUUGGAUUCGGUCGAGGUUGGCGGAAUGCGUGGUGUAGCGGUGAAAUGCUUAGAUAUCACGCGGAACGCCGAUUGCGAAGGCAGCUGACCAGACCUGAAUCGACGCUGAGGCACGAAAGCGUGGGGAUCAAACAGGAUUAGAUACCCUGGUAGUCCACGCCGUAAACGAUGAUCACUGGAUGCCGGCGACACACCGUCGGUGUCUGAGCGAAAGCAUUAAGUGAUCCACCUGGGGAGUACGAUCGCAAGGUUGAAACUCAAAGGAAUUGACGGGGGCCCGCACAAGCG